AUGGCGACCGGCGCACGGGUGAGUAACACGUAUCCAACCUGCCGAUAACUCGGGGAUAGCCUUUCGAAAGAAAGAUUAAUACCCGAUGGUAUAAUCAGACCGCAUGGUCUGAUUAUUAAAGAAUUUCGGUUAUCGAUGGGGAUGCGUUCCAUUAGGCAGUUGGUGAGGUAACGGCUCACCAAACCUUCGAUGGAUAGGGGUUCUGAGAGGAAGGUCCCCCACAUUGGAACUGAGACACGGUCCAA
RNAcentral lists this ribosomal RNA (245 nucleotides) under uncultured bacterium. RNAcentral describes it as "partial 16S ribosomal RNA". It matches the Rfam family "Bacterial small subunit ribosomal RNA", at positions 88 to 334 of the family's 1533-position model. The record is from RNAcentral.